ACAUAAAACUAUAAUAUGACAUAUUGUAAUGAAGUGGUCAACAACCGGUCGAUCGCGAUCAACUGUUCGAUCUCAAAGACAUUCCUAGUCAAUCACCAAACAUUUCUAUAGAAAAGACAACUAUAAAGUCUGUGCUAAAGGCUUGCGCUCCUUAUUUUUAUAUUUGUGUUGUUCUGUUGGUGGUAGAUACACUUCAUUCAGAAAGCCCUGCAAAGUGUUCCCAUUUUUAACCAUUUAAUUUGUCUGAAACUGCAGACUAUGCCUACCCGGCGGACUGGGAGUUCUCAUUUACAACUGUGACCUGGCCAAGAUAAAGCAAAAAAGUGCGACAAAAACAACAACACAGAGUUACACAUAAACAAACAUACAGUCAAUUGCACAAUAGAAACAUCGAUGUACAGCAUGUGCAUGUGGUAGAAGAGUAGGGAGGUAAAAGCAAUAAAUAGGCCAUAGAGGCGAAAUAAUUACAAUUUAGCGUUAACACUGGAGUGAUAAAUGUGCAGAUGAUGAUGUGCAAGUAGAGAUACUGGGUUGAAAAAUAGCAAGAAGAUAAAUAACAAUAUGGGGAUGAAGUGGUUGGGUGUGCCAUUUACAGAUGGGAUGUGUCCAGGAACAGUGAUCGGUAAGCUGCUCUGACAGCUGAUGAUUCAAGUUAGAGAGGGAUAUAUAAGUCUCUAGCUUCUGUGAUUUUUGCAAUUCGUUCCAGUCAUUGGCAGCAGAGAACUGGAAGGGAAGACGGCCAAAGGAAGUGUUGGCUUUGGGGAUGACCAUUGAAAUAUACCUGCUGGAGCGCGUGAUCCGGGUGGGUGUUGCUAUGGUGACCAGUGAGCUGUUCGAUGCUAAUGCAGAACGCCACAGGAUGUUUUUGUGCUGGUCAAGGGGCCUCGACUGGGAGACCCAUGGGGUGGCUUUUUGUUUUAAUUUACAAUCUUCCAAUCCUCUAUGUGUAAUUAUUGGUGGAGAGUCACGUCAUAUUUUUCAAAUUACUAUAGGCCUGCCGUAGGUGACAUGAGUCUCACAGGUGUUGAGUAAUGUGCUGUUAAAAGCGGUGAAGGUCUUAUUUAUUUAAAGAGCAUAUUGAAUUUAGAAGUAAUUGGAUUUGAAGCAAUAGCCUACAACUAUUUCAGCACCGUUUUGCGCUGCUCUGAACAAGCAUGGGGACUGGUCUUGAUAAAUCAAUGAGAUUUUUUAUUUUGACUGAAUCUCCGUUUGGGUGUUGGUUAAACUAAAAGUGUAGUGUAUACAUUUAUGCUCUUAGUGUAACCUUUUAUUUAACUAGGCAAGUCAGUUUAACUAGGCUAAUUCUUAUUUACAAUGACAGCCUACUCCAUCCUCCCCAUCUGCCAGGGAUUCUUUUGCUAAAGGGCCCUAAACAGUUUCCCAUGCAUUGUCAAUGGGGUUUGUAAACCAACACGGAUGUAAUAUAAUUCCGGCCACAUGCUGACUCAGUGGCGCUCCUCAAUGCAGGACGUGGGAGUGGGGAGGGACGCACACUCUGUAAACAGGAAUAGGUGCAACACCGAUCACUGAGCUGGCAAGCUUAAGGUAGCUAGUUAGUCACAUAAAUGUACGUUCAGCCUGUUAAUUAUUUCAGUCAGAUUUUACGAAGUCAGCAUGGCUUAACAUAGUUGCUUUCGUUUUUGACCUCGACAUUUUUGCUGGAUAGAUACUGUCAUAGCUAACAUGCUGGCGCUGCUAGCUAGCUAAUGCCGCUCAUAUCUGGAUCCAUCACUCUAUUUCCGGAGAGAGCAGCAUACUGGUGGUGUCUUACAGAGGAGUGCCCGUUUUGAUUGAAGAUGAGUGUGACGUAGACCCCAGAAGUCUGCAGACUACAGGGGCCCUCCAUUCCCAACCCUGAAGCCCCCUGUCCCCAGCAGGAAAGACCAGGAAAAUGUGUUGGCUUAACUUCCUAUUGAGGAAAUAUCUGCCAACCUGCUCGGUGGGUGACAGGUAACUGUCUUUCCACCAAGCUGUUCACUUCCUGGAGUGGCACGCUGGAACCUCCAGAGGCUUGUAGACCUGAAGCAGUGUGAUGUGGUCCAGCUCAACCACAGUCUUCACAGCUGUAGUCGUGUGCCCCUGCAUCUGCUACCCCGGCCACGACAGGUGAUACAGAUCUGCCACCCCCCAGUUCAGCUGCAGUCACAGCUGUCCUCUGCUGUGGUAUUUAAUUUACCAGCUGCACCAGUUCCUACUACACUGGCCGUGAAGGGAGAAACUUUUGAGGAUUCCUAGAUGGAUGCAGACAGACAGCCUCACCCAGAAGUGCAUACACUGGGUCUAUCAAGACUGACUGACAAGCAGAGAUGGGUGGCUGACGAGGAAAAAUAAAACAACAUGCCCUCACACACAUUAUCCACAUUGUAAAUACGUUGUAAUUACUUGUUUAUUUAAUCUUUGCUCCAUUUUAUUUUAGGAUUGGAGAUAUCUACUCCUACAUGUCCAUUCUCAAUAUCUACAUAAUUACUCUAAAUAUCUAUCAAAUCAGUGUAAUUGACAAGAUUGUAAAAGAAUGUGGCUUAAUGUAUACAGUUAGAGGAAAUUCUGUGUGCUUUUUUCUGAAUUGAAAAACAUGUCUCACACACACACACACAGUGUCUAAUUUAAAUAAAUUGCAAUAACUUGUUUAUUUUAUGUAUGCUCCAUUUUAUUUGAGGAAAAUAUCUGCAAUAAAGUACAUUCACAGUUAAA
Long non-coding RNA from Oncorhynchus keta (chum salmon), 2691 nucleotides. RefSeq lists it as uncharacterized. The transcript has 7 exons. The record is from RefSeq and is a predicted model, not a curated record. NCBI's taxonomy places the organism in Eukaryota, Metazoa, Chordata, Actinopteri, Salmoniformes, Salmonidae.